UAGAGAGAGACAUGCGCGCAUAUCAAUAAGCGGAGGAAAAGAAACUAACAAGGAUUCCCUUAGUAACGGCGAGUGAAGCGGGAAGAGCUCAAAUUUGAAAUCUUCAAGGUUUUACCUUGACGAAUUGUAGUUUAAAGAAGUGUUUUCUGCUGAAGUUUUGGUAAAAGUUCUUUGGAAUAGGACAUCAUAGAGGGUGAGAAUCCCGUAUUUGACCAUUAUUUUCAGCUUUGUGAUACACUUUCAAAGAGUCGGAUUGUUUGGGGAUGCAGUCCAAAAUGGGUGGUAAAUUUCAUCUAAAGCUAAAUAUUGGCGAGAGACCGAUAGCGAACAAGUACCGUGAGGGAAAGAUGAAAAGAACUUUGAAAAGAGAGUUAAACAGUACGUGAAAUUGUCAAAAGGGAAGCGUUUGACACCAGUGUUGUUUUCUCGAAAAUCAAUUAAAAAUGGCUCGAUUUUGUAUUGCUUGAGACCUUAAAAGCUCACUGUACAUUUUUCGUGUCUUUUUUAAUGCACUUUUCGUUUAACAAGUCAACUAUCAGUUUCUUUUGUUGUAAAAGGGUCAUUGGAAGGUGGCUUUCUUUUCGGAGAAAGUGUUUAUAGCCUUUGGCCUCUGCAAUCGGAGAGACUGAGGUCUGCAGCGUAGACUCUUCGGGGUUAGAUACAUUUGUGCUAAGUUAUAGCUUUUUAUAGACAACUUGUUGACUAUAAUUAGUCAUGUAGCUUACUCGCUUAUGCUAUUUUACCUACGCUUAGGAUGUUGAAGAUGUAGCACAUCAU
Molecule: ribosomal RNA, 777 nt
Filed under: uncultured Neocallimastigales
Lineage: Eukaryota; Fungi; Neocallimastigomycota; Neocallimastigomycetes; Neocallimastigales
Description: partial large subunit ribosomal RNA
Rfam family: Eukaryotic large subunit ribosomal RNA
Source: RNAcentral